ACGUAUGGGGCAAGCGUUGUUCGGAAUUAUUGGGUGUAAAGGGUGUCUAGGCGGGUCGGUCAGUCUGACGUGAAAUUCCCCGGCUUAACCGGGGCGGGUCGUUGGAUACUGCCGAUCUUGAGGCUGGAAGAGGAGGGCGGAAUUCCCAGUGUAGCGGUGGAAUGCGUAGAUAUUGGGAAGAACACCAGUGGCGAAGGCGGCUCUCUGGUCCAGCUCUGACGCUGAAGCACGAAAGCGUGGGUAGCAAACAG
This 251-nucleotide ribosomal RNA is filed under the name uncultured prokaryote. Its description in RNAcentral is "partial 16S rRNA". It matches the Rfam family "Bacterial small subunit ribosomal RNA", at positions 525 to 775 of the family's 1533-position model. The record is from RNAcentral.